CGGGGCUUGUCCUGUGGCUACAGAGGUGACGGCGCAGAUCUCUCACCCUGUUACUUUCUCAUCUCCAGCAAAGGAACCUGAGUCGUGUCCAGCUGGUGCGCCUCCGCAGUGGCUGCCUGCCCAGACGGCUGGAUCGGUACCUGGGGAAGUGUUACUAUUUCUCACAGGCUGAGGGAACUGGGACUACACCCAGAGCCACUGCUCUGCCCCUAGGUGCUCCCUGGCUGGAUUGAAUACCCAGCAGGAAAUGGAUUUCCUGAUGCGCUAUAAAGGACUCUCUGACCACUGGAUCGGCCUCGGGAGGAAACCGGACCAACCCUGGAUGUGGACCAACAGCACCGAAUUCAACAAGUGGUUUCCAAUAGCGGGAGGAGGCCUGUG
Molecule: long non-coding RNA, 381 nt
Filed under: Chelonoidis abingdonii (Abingdon island giant tortoise)
Lineage: Eukaryota; Metazoa; Chordata; Testudines; Testudinidae
Description: lncRNA (ENSCABG00000018958.1)
Source: RNAcentral